AGGAGGUUAUCAAUUCGGUUGUAUGUUUUUUUUUUUUUUAUGUUUGUUACUCCAUAUCUCCGUCAUUACUGGACCGAUUUUGAAAAUUAUUUUUUUGAUUGUAUGCCUUUAUACACCGUGUUUUUUUUGAUUUCCGUUAAUUUCGAGGGUGCAUUCCUGAGCUUAAAUUAAGUAACUUUAUCAAAGACACCGAUGUUCUAAUUAACUCCAUUUCGGAGAUAAUCAAUAAUUUAUUUUUUUCCUAUAAGGUCUCUACAAGCGUGUACACUUGCCUUAGGGCUGGUUUACAUAUUGGUUAGUGUUAAGAAUGAGUUCAUACAUUUGCUACUAAACUUAAGUACAAUCUCGGUCGAUCGAUGUUCGAAAUGACAUUGAUAUGUCACAGAUUUCAAUUGUUUGGUUGAGUUAAAUGUAAUGCCCGUGUUACAACAACGCUAUAGGCUACAUUUAAUUACUUUUUA
Cydia fagiglandana is the source of this 461-nucleotide long non-coding RNA. RefSeq lists it as uncharacterized. The transcript has 2 exons. The record is from RefSeq and is a predicted model, not a curated record. Lineage: Eukaryota; Metazoa; Arthropoda; Insecta; Lepidoptera; Tortricidae.